UACAGAGGGCUCAAGCGUUGUUCGGAAUCACUGGGCGUAAAGGGUGCGUAGGCGGCUCGGUAAGUCAGAGGUGAAAUCCCGGAGCUCAACUUCGGAAUUGCCUCCGAUACUGCCGUGCUUGAGGACUGGAGAGGAGAUUGGAAUUCACAGUGGAGCAGUGAAAUGCGUAGAUAUUGUGAGGAACACGAGUGGCGAAGGCGAAUCUCUGGACAGUUCCUGACGCUGAGGCACGAAGGCCAGGGGAGCAAACGGG
Molecule: ribosomal RNA, 253 nt
Filed under: uncultured bacterium
Lineage: Bacteria
Description: partial 16S ribosomal RNA
Rfam family: Bacterial small subunit ribosomal RNA
Source: RNAcentral